GUAGUUUGAUCAUGGCUCAGGAUGAACGCUAGCGGCAGGCUUAACACAUGCAAGUCGAGGGGCAGCAUAAUGGAUAGCAAUAUCUAUGGUGGCGACCGGCGCACGGGUGCGUAACGCGUAUGCAACCUACCUUUAACAGGGGGAUAACACUGAGAAAUUGGUACUAAUACCCCGUAAUAUCAUAGAAGGCAUCUUUUAAUGGUUGAAAAUUCCGAUGGUUAGAGAUGGGCAUGCGUUGUA
This 240-nucleotide ribosomal RNA is filed under the name uncultured bacterium. RNAcentral's name for it is "partial 16S ribosomal RNA". It matches the Rfam family "Bacterial small subunit ribosomal RNA", at positions 9 to 240 of the family's 1533-position model. The record is from RNAcentral.